Molecule: RNase P RNA, 389 nt
Filed under: Nocardioides sp. CF8
Lineage: Bacteria; Bacillati; Actinomycetota; Actinomycetes; Propionibacteriales; Nocardioidaceae
Description: Bacterial RNase P class A
Rfam family: Bacterial RNase P class A
About the family: Ribonuclease P (RNase P) is a ubiquitous endoribonuclease, found in archaea, bacteria and eukarya as well as chloroplasts and mitochondria. Its best characterised activity is the generation of mature 5'-ends of tRNAs by cleaving the 5'-leader elements of precursor-tRNAs. Cellular RNase Ps are ribonucleoproteins.
Source: Rfam by way of RNAcentral
UGGGCUGGCCGGGCGACCGCGUUCCGCCACACGGCAACGUGCGGUGGGCCGAGGAAGGUCCGGGCUCCACAGGGCAGGGUGAUGGUUAACGGCCAUCCGGGGCAACCCGCGGGACAGUGCCACAGAAAACAGACCGCCACUCGGUGCUUCGGCGACGAGCGGUAAGGGUGAAACGGUGGGGUAAGAGCCCACCAGUGCACCGGGCGACCGGUGCAGCUAGGUAAACCCCACCCGGAGCAAGAUCAGACAGUGUGCGUUCGAGGGCGGCCCGCCCGAGUGCACGGGUAGAUCGCUGGAGGGAGUCGGCAACGGCUCUCGUAGAUGGAUGGUCGCCUCGCCCCGGCUCCGGCCGGUGCGGACAGAACCCGGCCUACAGGCCAGCCCAUUCG